This 301-nucleotide ribosomal RNA is filed under the name uncultured bacterium. RNAcentral describes it as "partial 16S ribosomal RNA". It matches the Rfam family "Bacterial small subunit ribosomal RNA", at positions 509 to 809 of the family's 1533-position model. The record is from RNAcentral.
CAGUAGCCGCGGGAAUACGUAGGUGGCAAGCGUUGUCCGGAAUUAUUGGGCGUAAAGGACUCGCAGGCGGUUUCUUAAGUCUGAUGUGAAAGCCCCCGGCUCAACCGGGGAGGGUCAUUGGAAACUGGGAAACUUGAGUGCAGAAGAGGAGAGUGGAAUUCCACGUGUAGCGGUGAAAUGCGUAGAGAUGUGGAGGAACACCAGUGGCGAAGGCGACUCUCUGGUCUGUAACUGACGCUGAGGAGCGAAAGCGUGGGGAGCGAACAGGAUUAGAUACCCCAGUAGUCCCUGUCCUUAUACA